GGCUGGGCAGCUAGGGAGGCCCAGGCGACGAAGCCUCCCGGACGGCGAACGGCAGGCGGUGGAGGAGGAGACGGCAGGUCGGGCAUUUUAAAAAUAUUUAAUCAUUCAUGAGUUGAGCUUCAUUCUUGAGUCAUGGAUGACAAGGCUUCUGUUGGAAAAAUCAGUGUGUCCUCAGACUCAGUAUCCACUCUUAAUAGUGAAGAUUUUGUCUUGGUUUCCAGGCAAGGAGAUGAGACACCAUCUACAAAUAAUGGGAGUGAUGACGAGAAAACAGGACUCAAGAUUAUAGGGAAUGGAAGUGAGCAGCAGCUGCAAAAAGAGUUGGCAGAUGUGCUAAUGGAUCCUCCAAUGGACGACCAGCCAGGGGAAAAGGAGCUUGUGGAAAGGUCGCAACUGGAUGGCGAAGGAGAUGGGCCUCUUUCUAAUCCGCUCUCAGCUUCAUCCACCAUUAACCCUGUGCCAUUAGUAGGGCUCCAAAAACCAGAGAUGAGCCUGCCAGUGCAACCUGGACAAGGAGAUUCUGAAGGGUCAAGUCCUUUCACACCAGUGGCUGAUGAGGACAGUGUGGUCUUUAGCAAGCUAACUUACUUAGGCUGUGCCUCAGUCAAUGCUCCCCGGAGUGAAGUGGAAGCCUUAAGGAUGAUGUCCAUCUUAAGAAGCCAGUGUCAGAUUUCACUGGAUGUAACCCUAUCAGUGCCAAAUGUGUCUGAGGGAACUGUGAGACUCUUAGAUCCUCAGACAAACACUGAAAUAGCAAACUAUCCUAUCUACAAAAUCCUCUUCUGUGUCAGAGGACAUGAUGGAACUCCUGAAAGUGACUGUUUUGCUUUCACUGAAAGUCAUUACAAUGCAGAGCUCUUUAGGAUACAUGUCUUCCGAUGUGAAAUACAAGAAGCUGUAAGCCGGAUACUCUACAGUUUUGCCACUGCCUUCCGCCGUUCUGCCAAGCAGACCCCACUUUCAGCCACUGCUGCACCCCAGACUCCUGACAGUGACAUCUUUACCUUCUCUGUGUCUUUAGAAAUAAAAGAAGAUGAUGGUAAAGGUUAUUUUAGUGCAGUUCCUAAAGAUAAGGACAGACAAUGCUUUAAACUACGCCAAGGAAUUGAUAAAAAGAUUGUCAUCUAUGUGCAACAAACAACUAAUAAAGAACUUGCCAUUGAAAGGUGUUUUGGUCUUCUCCUUAGCCCAGGAAAGGAUGUACGAAAUAGUGACAUGCACUUAUUAGAUUUGGAAUCUAUGGGCAAAAGUUCAGAUGGAAAGUCUUAUGUUAUCACUGGGAGUUGGAAUCCAAAAUCUCCACAUUUUCAAGUUGUAAAUGAAGAAACUCCUAAAGAUAAAGUGUUGUUUAUGACCACAGCUGUUGAUUUGGUAAUAACAGAAGUACAGGAGCCUGUUCGAUUUCUUCUAGAGACAAAAGUCCGGGUUUGCUCACCUAAUGAAAGGUUAUUCUGGCCCUUCAGCAAACGUAGUACUACUGAAAAUUUCUUUUUGAAACUAAAACAGAUAAAGCAAAAGGAGAGAAAGAGCAACACUGACACUUUAUACGAAGUUGUGUGCUUGGAAAGUGAGUCAGAAAGAGAGAGGAGGAAAACUACAGCCAGCCCCUCCAUUCGCCUGCCACAGUCUGGAUCGCAGAGCUCAAUGAUACCAUCUCCUCCAGAAGAUGACGAAGAGGAAGAUAAUGAUGAACCCCUAUUGAGUGGAUCCGGCGAUGUAUCCAAAGAAUGUGCAGAAAAAAUUCUUGAAACAUGGGGAGAACUACUGUCAAAAUGGCAUCUCAACUUGAGUGUGAGACCAAAGCAGUUGUCGUCCUUAGUAAGAAGCGGUGUUCCUGAAGCUCUUCGAGGAGAAGUCUGGCAGCUGCUAGCAGGUUGUCACAACAAUGACCACCUGGUAGAAAAAUACCGAAUUCUCAUCACAAAGGAGUCUCCUCAGGACAGUGCUAUCACCCGGGAUAUUAACCGGACAUUCCCAGCCCAUGACUACUUUAAGGAUACAGGAGGAGAUGGACAAGAUUCCUUAUAUAAAAUAUGCAAGGCUUAUUCUGUAUAUGAUGAAGAGAUUGGCUAUUGCCAGGGCCAGUCAUUUCUUGCUGCUGUUCUGCUUCUCCAUAUGCCUGAAGAACAGGCAUUCAGUGUUCUGGUCAAGAUCAUGUUUGACUAUGGUCUCAGGGAACUUUUCAAGCAGAAUUUUGAAGAUUUGCAUUGCAAAUUUUACCAGUUGGAGCGCCUCAUGCAGGAGUACAUUCCCGACCUGUACAACCACUUCCUGGAUAUAAGCCUUGAAGCACACAUGUACGCCUCCCAGUGGUUUCUCACACUUUUCACUGCCAAGUUCCCUCUCUACAUGGUCUUCCAUAUCAUUGACCUGCUGUUGUGUGAGGGAAUCAGUGUUAUUUUUAAUGUUGCCCUUGGAUUAUUGAAGACGUCGAAGGAUGACUUGCUUUUGACAGACUUUGAAGGUGCCUUGAAGUUCUUCAGGGUCCAGCUUCCUAAGAGGUAUCGCUCGGAAGAGAAUGCAAAGAGGCUCAUGGAAUUGGCUUGCAACAUGAAGAUUAGUCAGAAGAAGUUGAAAAAAUAUGAAAAGGAAUAUCACACCAUGAGGGAACAGCAGGCCCAACAGGAAGACCCCAUCGAACGAUUUGAGCGGGAGAAUAGGCGUUUACAAGAAGCGAACAUGAGGUUGGAACAGGAAAAUGAUGACUUAGCCCACGAGCUGGUGACCAGCAAGAUCGCGCUGCGCAAGGACCUGGAUAACGCUGAGGAAAAGGCAGAUGCACUGAAUAAGGAGCUGCUUAUGACCAAACAGAAGUUGAUUGAUGCAGAAGAAGAGAAAAGACGGCUGGAAGAGGAGUCUGCUCAGCUAAAAGAAAUGUGUCGGCGGGAACUCGACAAGGCAGAAUCUGAGAUUAAAAAAAACAGUUCUAUCAUCGGUGACUACAAGCAGAUUUGUUCUCAGUUGAGUGAAAGAUUGGAGAAGCAGCAGACAGCUAAUAAAGUGGAAAUUGAGAAAAUUCGGCAAAAAGUAGAUGACUGUGAGCGCUGCCGAGAGCUUUUCAACAAAGAAGGGCGCAUAAAGGGCGUCAGCGCAGCUAAGGAAGCUUUAGAUGAGGACACAGAUGAGGAGAAGGAGACGCUCAAGAACCAGCUGCGAGAGAUGGAACUGGAGCUGGCCCAGACCAAGCUGCAACUGGUGGAGGCCGAGUGUAAGAUACAGGACUUGGAGCACCAUUUGGGCCUUGCCCUAAAUGAGGUACAAGCAGCCAAGAAGACGUGGUUUAACCGAACACUGAGCUCCAUAAAGACAGCAACUGGCGUUCAAGGGAAAGAGACUUGCUGAGAGCAGCUGCGGCCUCCAGACACCGUCAGAAAACACAACACCUUUUGUUGCCUUCUUUGGCCAGAUGUGUGAUUCUGUGACAUGUCCCAGGACCAGAUGUACCUAAGUCAGAUUCCUAGAAGCAUAUUGGUAGGUCAUUGGCCCAGAGCUCCUGAAGCAGGCGCCUCUGGGGUAAGGCUCUCCUAACUACUGACACUAACAGGCCUGCCAGCCCAGCGGCUGCUCUGGACGCUCUAGGAAAUCACUCCCAGGCGACUCCCAGGCUCACCCAGCCCACAGGCUGAGCUGACAUGAUCAGAGUUGGGGGAACCCUUUCAGGCUGUUGGUUUUUUUUCUAAAUCUUUAAUUUUUUUUUAAUACACGUUAUAUAUACUGUGGCUGGGUGGGGUGGGGCAGAGGAUCAGGAACUCCAGUAAUUCUUACCUGCGUCAGUGCCAGCAGAGGGUCCUCUGGGUAAUGGAGAAGCACUUUGUUUUAAAGAGGAGGGUUUCAUGGGUGCAGUGAAGCAGUCUAGUUUUGUUAAACUAUAUGAUGCACAGGUUUUGGUUUGGCAUUUUUCACGUUUCAGAUCAAUUCUAUGCAACUCUCAUGGUUCCUGUUGUUUUUUAGUGUUAGCUGCCAAAAUGACUUCACAGGGCUGGGGUGGGUGACCAUGAGACUGAAUAAUCAUAAUGUGGACAAAUCUUAUUUUGCUCAAUGUGUCAUGUGUGUAUAUGUAUAUAUAUAUAAAAAUAUCUUUUCCCAAUGCCCCCAAAUGACAGUGUUUAAAUCCCAGACUAGGACUGAUCUGCACAACUUAAUUAUGUGGUUAUGUGGGCACUUAAUUUCACUAAGGUCUGUUGGGUUCUGCUCUCCUCCCUGCCGUUCUGAGAGUUGUGACAAGCUCCCUCACUUCGAGAUUCCAGGUGUUUUGCACAACAGAUUGUGUAAGUGAGGAGGACACUGAGCUCUGUGUGUGUCUGUGUAAAUGUACAUGUGGGACGCCCAGGCCCCAUCCUGCUGGCCCGUGUCCUCCCCUGGAGUGUGGCUGGGUGCAAACCUCGCUGUUUAAAUGGGCUGCAAGUUCUCGCUCCAAAACUAUGGAAUGGAGGUUUUAGCACCUUUUUUUAAACAAACAAACACAGACUUUUAACUUCUAUAGUGAUGUGCCGGCAGGCUGUCUUGCAGAUGGUUCGUCGCCGUCUCUGCGUGGUUGGAGGAAGCUGGUUACAAGAGGCGCUGGUUUGUAUGUAGACACUUGGGUUGUUUUGUAUCUUUUCCCAUUGGCUGUACUGACGCUUGCUGAGGUCAUCUGUGUUAACGUGGAGGUAACAAGUGGCAAGCCCUCCUCCCACCUUCCCCCACCACUUUGUGUCUUUCUUGUUCAGUUACCAAAACAGCUGUAAGCCCGUCUAAAUCUAGGUGCGUGGACAUUGUGUUAGGGUAGUCUUAGUGUGUUAACUUUAUGAAUUGAAAUAUAAACCAGUAAAAUUGUAUUACUAUUUCUUCCGUUGGUUUUAUUUUAACAGCAUAUUCAUUAAAUAUUUUGGUACAAACAGCAUUGCUUUGUAAAAACCAGUUUUAUCAUGUGCAGCAUCUCCCCAACCCCCACUAUCAGAGGUGUGUGAGCCGCAGCCACCUCCAUUCAGACCCUUUGUAAGCGGCUGAGGUGCCAGGCCUAUGGGGUGAGAAGACACAGGCUUCGUCUUCAUCGUGAGCAUUGCCCCUCUGAGAAAUAGGCGAGGCACUAUUUGUGUGUUUGAGGUUUAGGGAAAUCAUAAGCGUGUAAUUAAGCCUUAAAAGACAAAAGCAUCUCACCCGGCUGAGAUGGAAGAGUGAAUUCCCGCCCAGAAUGUGAUUGUGCUGGAGAAACAGCUGAAGAGCAGAAAGGUAGGCAGAUUACCUGGGGUCCAGGUCUGCUCUGCUGGAACUCAGAAGUGGUGGCAUGGACAGCCAGCUUGAAAAAGUUGCUUUCUGUUCACUGGGAGCCACCCCACACCAGGGGAUGAGGCUCCCAUACCCUGCCGUCCUUACCACCCCACCCCUUCUCUGCAGCAGGAAGAAGAACAGUGCUCCCCUCUCUGCGUCGCCUGCCUGCCCUCCAGGACCUCAGCUACUACACCCAGGCUUUGGAGGAAGUGGGUUGAGAUGCAGGCCACAAAGAAGGGAAGGUGCACCCUGUAAAACAAGUCGACACCUUCCCAUUGGCUGAAGACCAUGUCCUACAGAUGCUGAAUUAAAUGAGCUCCAGCCCUUGUCCUGGCAAAGAAACCAAAAAUGUCACUUUUUAAAAAGCACAAGGUUCCUGUAUGAACAAACGCCCAGUACCUGUCAUUCCCUUGGACUGGUGAGCCCAGCAGAGCAGAAACUCGGGGACAGA
Molecule: RNA transcript, 5701 nt
Organism: Myotis brandtii (Brandt's bat)
Lineage: Eukaryota; Metazoa; Chordata; Mammalia; Chiroptera; Vespertilionidae
Gene: RABGAP1
Gene name: RAB GTPase activating protein 1
Exons: 27
Source: RefSeq, a predicted model, not a curated record